RNAcentral lists this ribosomal RNA (253 nucleotides) under uncultured bacterium. RNAcentral describes it as "partial 16S ribosomal RNA". It matches the Rfam family "Bacterial small subunit ribosomal RNA", at positions 524 to 776 of the family's 1533-position model. The record is from RNAcentral.
UACAGAGGUCUCAAGCGUUGUUCGGAUUCAUUGGGCGUAAAGGGUGCGUAGGCGGCGCGGUAAGUCGGGUGUGAAAUCUCGGAGCUUAACUCCGAAACUGCAUUCGAUACUGCCGUGCUUGAGGACUGGAGAGGAGACUGGAAUUUACGGUGUAGCGGUGAAAUGCGUAGAUAUCAGGAGGAACACCGGUGGCGAAGGCGGUUCUCUGGGCAUGUCCUGACGCUGAGGAGCGAAAGUGUGGGGAGCGAACAGG